This 75-nucleotide transfer RNA is filed under the name Candidatus Doudnaibacteriota bacterium. Its description in RNAcentral is "Candidatus Doudnabacteria bacterium tRNA-Arg". It matches the Rfam family "tRNA". Rfam says of the family: Transfer RNA (tRNA) molecules are approximately 80 nucleotides in length. Their secondary structure includes four short double-helical elements and three loops (D, anti-codon, and T loops). RNAcentral also lists the same sequence under 1 other name. The record is from RNAcentral. Lineage: Bacteria; Candidatus Doudnaibacteriota.
GGUUCCGUAGCUCAAUGGAUAGAGCAGUGCUCUUCUAAGGCAUUGAUGUUGGUUCGAUUCCAACCGGGACCACCA